This 131-nucleotide ribosomal RNA is filed under the name Mycteroperca jordani (Gulf grouper). Its description in RNAcentral is "partial 16S ribosomal RNA". Lineage: Eukaryota; Metazoa; Chordata; Actinopteri; Perciformes; Serranidae. The record is from RNAcentral.
AAAACAACAAGACAUAAUUACUAAACCCAAAAACAUUAACACCUCCACAAACAAACCAUUUUUCCCCCUUAGUAUGGGCGACAGAAAAGGAAUAACGGAGCAAUAGAGAAAGUACCGCAAGGGAAAGCUGA